This 229-nucleotide ribosomal RNA is filed under the name uncultured Bacillota bacterium. RNAcentral's name for it is "uncultured Firmicutes bacterium partial 16S ribosomal RNA". It matches the Rfam family "Bacterial small subunit ribosomal RNA", at positions 109 to 339 of the family's 1533-position model. Lineage: Bacteria; Bacillati; Bacillota. The record is from RNAcentral.
AGUAACGCGUGGGCAACCUGCCUUUCACAGCGGGAUAACAGAGGGAAGCUUCUGCUAAUACCGCAUAUACCUUUAUAACGCAUGUUAGGGAGGGGAAAGAAUUAUCGGUGAGAGAUGGGCCCGCGUCCGAUUAGAUAGUUGGUGGGGUAACAGCCUACCAAGUCAACGAUCGGUAGCCGGCUUGAGAGAGUGAACGGCCACAUUGGGACUGAGACACGGCCCAAACUCC